Molecule: ribosomal RNA, 702 nt
Filed under: Chryseobacterium sp.
Lineage: Bacteria; Pseudomonadati; Bacteroidota; Flavobacteriia; Flavobacteriales; Weeksellaceae
Description: bacterial SSU rRNA
Rfam family: Bacterial small subunit ribosomal RNA
Source: RNAcentral
ACAGGAUUAGAUACCCUGGUAGUCCACGCCGUAAACGAUGCUAACUCGUUUUUGGGUUUUCGGAUUCAGAGACUAAGCGAAAGUGAUAAGUUAGCCACCUGGGGAGUACGUUCGCAAGAAUGAAACUCAAAGGAAUUGACGGGGGCCCGCACAAGCGGUGGAUUAUGUGGUUUAAUUCGAUGAUACGCGAGGAACCUUACCAAGGCUUAAAUGGGAAUUGAUCGGUUUAGAAAUAGACCUUCCUUCGGGCAAUUUUCAAGGUGCUGCAUGGUUGUCGUCAGCUCGUGCCGUGAGGUGUUAGGUUAAGUCCUGCAACGAGCGCAACCCCUGUUACUAGUUGCUACCAUUAAGUUGAGGACUCUAGUAAGACUGCCUACGCAAGUAGAGAGGAAGGUGGGGAUGACGUCAAAUCAUCACGGCCCUUACGCCUUGGGCCACACACGUAAUACAAUGGCAGGUACAGAGGGCAGCUACACAGCGAUGUGAUGCGAAUCUCGAAAGCCUGUCUCAGUUCGGAUUGGAGUCUGCAACUCGACUCUAUGAAGCUGGAAUCGCUAGUAAUCGCGCAUCAGCCAUGGCGCGGUGAAUACGUUCCCGGGCCUUGUACACACCGCCCGUCAAGCCAUGGAAGUCUGGGGUACCUGAAGUCGGUGACCGUAAAAGGAGCUGCCUAGGGUAAAACAGGUAACUAGGGCUAAGUCG